UCCUCCGAAGGUGCUCAGUCCCCAGACUCUUUCCCACCUCUGCCCACACCAGUCCUGUCUUCCACCCAGAGGCACAGCUGGAUUGCACUGGCAGAACUGAGGAGGGGGGGACCGGCAGCCUCCACCGGAGUGGGGAGUGAGAAGUGCAACAUAGAACACAAAAGACCAGAGCUUCUGCAGGGGAAGAAGGACAAGGUUCGUCCUAUGCAUACCGCAUCUCCACACCUUUGUUGGCCUGGAGUUCAGGCUGGAAGCAAUCUGUGGGUUGUUUCUGCACAUGCACCUGCCAUCCUAGCAAGAGGUCUUGCCUCCAAGUCACCUAAGCUACCCACUAAGGAUGACACUGAAAACAUCUCCCAAGAGCCUGCUAAGUUUGGGGCUCACCAAGAGAUCUGGUCCAGCCUUUAGCAAACCUCCCAGCACUAUCCUAUAAAUCCUUUAGGUAACAAUAAGCAGAAAAGACCAGGUAUGGGAGCACAUAUCUGUAAUCCCAGCACUGGGGAGGCUGAGACAGGAGAAACCCAAGUUUAAGGCCAGCCUAGGCAACUUAGAAUUUGUCUCAAAAUAAAAAAAUAAGAGGCAGGAAAGGUAGUACAUGCAUAUCUGAAAUCCCAGCACUCUGGAAGAUGAGUUAGGGUGCACUGCAAGUUUAAACCCUCCCUGGGCAAUUUAGUGACUUAGUAAGACCCUGUCUCAAAAUUUAAAAAUGGGCUGGGAAAUGUAGCUCAG
This 729-nucleotide long non-coding RNA is filed under the name Chinchilla lanigera (long-tailed chinchilla). RNAcentral describes it as "lncRNA (ENSCLAG00000026768.1)". Lineage: Eukaryota; Metazoa; Chordata; Mammalia; Rodentia; Chinchillidae. The record is from RNAcentral.